This 454-nucleotide unclassified non-coding RNA is filed under the name Hevea brasiliensis (rubber tree). Lineage: Eukaryota; Viridiplantae; Streptophyta; Magnoliopsida; Malpighiales; Euphorbiaceae. The record is from RNAcentral.
ACUUGGAUUGAAGAAGUUCGAGACUCUGUCUUACCUGCCUGAUCUUGAUCAAACCCAAUUGGCGAAAGAAGUAGAGUACCUUCUCAGGAAGGGAUGGGUUCCCUGCCUUGAAUUCGACGUGCAUGACGGAUUCGUGUACCGUGAGAACCACAGGUCACCAGGAUACUACGAUGGACGCUACUGGACCAUGUGGAAGUUGCCCAUGUUUGGUUGCACCGAUGCGGCUCAGGUGAUUCAGGAGAUUGAGGAGGCCAAGAAGCACUACCCCGACGCAUUCAUCAGGGUUAUUGGCUUUGACAACGUCCGUCAAGUCCAGUGCAUCAGUUUCAUUGUCUACAAGCCCCCUAAGUUCUACUCUAGCUGAUUCCAUUCCCAGCUUUCUUGAGGCGAAUUUCCAGCAUUUGCCUUUUUCCACCUCGCUUCCACAUCACUUGGCUUUCAAUCCAAUUUCCCA